This 569-nucleotide long non-coding RNA is filed under the name Homo sapiens (human). RNAcentral's name for it is "HSALNT0003067". Lineage: Eukaryota; Metazoa; Chordata; Mammalia; Primates; Hominidae. The record is from RNAcentral.
CUUGGGAUGGUACCUCUGUGGCAUCAGCAUUGAGUAAGCAUGCCCUCAAGCCUUGAUCAUCACUGCGACAACCACAGCUGCAUUUCUGAGUGCCAUCUGGGGGACACCAUGCCAGUAAAAUAGGGAGCAGAACAGAACCUUCCUCCCCUGGCUGGGGGGCGGUCCGUGUGAAGUUCUUGGUGUCCAGUGGUGAGCAUGAGCCGUCCCUGCGAUGCCAAGCCUCUCCUUGCUGACGGCGGGGAUUGACGAUCCAGCUUAUGUGCCCUGCUCCCCUCUGCCUGCCCCUUCUCCCUGUCCCCAGGUCUCCCCUGUGGUGGGGGAUGCAGGUCCCGUUUUCCUAUGGGGCACUGGCUUUGGAGACCACCCCUGCCCCGACCCCUGUUCUCUGAUUCUAUCUAAGUGCUUAAUCUCUCCCCCCGACCCCUAUCCUCUGAUUCUAUCUAAGUGCCUAAUCUUUCCCAGCGGCAGCCCUGGGAGACAUCUCCUCUCUCGCUAUGGGGCUGCUGGGAUCUGUCUUCCCAACCUGACACUUCACAAGUCUGUCCCCUCUACUUUAUCCUCCCCCUAAG